RNAcentral lists this ribosomal RNA (478 nucleotides) under uncultured bacterium. RNAcentral's name for it is "partial 16S ribosomal RNA". It matches the Rfam family "Bacterial small subunit ribosomal RNA", at positions 28 to 507 of the family's 1533-position model. The record is from RNAcentral.
GAUGAACGCUGGCGGCGUGCUUAACACAUGCGAGUCGAACGAGAAGUGGAGACGGACGCCUUCGGGAGGAAGGCGGUAUUUCGAGGGGCGGCAGGGGGAGUAACGCGUGGGUAGCCUGCCUCAUACAGGGGGAUAACAGUUGGAAACGACUGUUAAUACCGCAUCAGACCACAGCACAGCAUGAUGCGGGGGUGAAAACUCCGGUGGUAUGAGAUGGACCCGCGUUGGAUUAGCCAGUUGGAGCGGUAACGGCCCACCAAAGCGACGAUCGGUAGCCGGGCUGUGAGGCUGACUCGCCACACCGGCACUGAGCCACGGCCCAAACUCCUACGGGAUGCAGCAGUGGGUAAUAGUGCACCAUGGGGUAAAUGCUGAUGCAGCGCCGCCGCGUGAGUUCAGAAGUAUUUCGGUAUGUAAAGCUCUAUCAGCAGGGAACAACAUGACGGUACCUGAGGAAGAAGCCCCGGCUAACUACGUG